UACGUAGGGUGCAAGCGUUGUCCGGAAUUAUUGGGCGUAAAGAGCUCGUAGGCGGUCUGUCACGUCGGACUGUGAAAACCCGAGGCUCAACCUCGGGCCUGCAGUCGAUACGGGCAAACUAGAGGUACUGCAGGGGAGACUGGAAUUCCUGGUGUAGCGGUGGAAUGCGCAGACUAUCAGGAGGGAACACCGAGUCGGCGAAAGGCAG
RNAcentral lists this ribosomal RNA (208 nucleotides) under uncultured bacterium. RNAcentral describes it as "partial 16S ribosomal RNA". It matches the Rfam family "Bacterial small subunit ribosomal RNA", at positions 524 to 724 of the family's 1533-position model. The record is from RNAcentral.